GUUAUCUGAAGUUGGAAGGGGAGAGAGAGAAAGAGAAAGAACGCAUUAGUGGAGAGCUGUUAUUUUUGACCUUGUGUUUAAAGAAACUUCCUUUGGAAAACUGAGGUGCUAGAAACUGAACUGAGCAAGCAAGUGUAGUAAGCAUGGAUGAAGGGGAAAAUCUGAUGUAAAUCCAGCUUCCUGAGGCACCUCGGUGUUUGGAUGAACUUUCCUCACACAGUGCCCAGCAGCAUGCCAAUCUAGACUAUGAUCUCACCAGAUGAACUGGGCAGGAGAACUUCAAAGGA
Dromaius novaehollandiae (emu) is the source of this 287-nucleotide long non-coding RNA. RefSeq lists it as uncharacterized. NCBI's taxonomy places the organism in Eukaryota, Metazoa, Chordata, Aves, Casuariiformes, Dromaiidae. The record is from RefSeq and is a predicted model, not a curated record. The transcript has 3 exons.